Molecule: non-coding RNA, 2337 nt
Organism: Schizosaccharomyces pombe (fission yeast)
Lineage: Eukaryota; Fungi; Ascomycota; Schizosaccharomycetes; Schizosaccharomycetales; Schizosaccharomycetaceae
Source: the annotation of a GenBank genome assembly
UUCCGGAUUUUCUAGAACCAGUAAAGAGGAAGCUUUAUAAAAAUGUGAAUUUUUGAAAAAAUUGAAAAACGAAUAUUGUCAAAAACUAAAUAAGCCAGAUCGUCGUUUUCCGAAAGGAUACACUACCAAUGCAGACGCAAAUAGGCCAACAGAAAUUCCGAUAGCAAUUUGAACCAUAACCAAACCGAAUUUUAAAGAAUUAACAUCCAAAGUAGAAGAACUUGAGGUGUUGUAAGUAUUGUUCGUUAAAGAAGUAGCAACUUCAAUGCCAGAAGAAAUACCACCUUGAGCAGCCAAACCAGAGGGGACUUGAACAAAUAUAGCAGGCAAUACAGCAGCGAACGCAACUCCUCGACCUAAACGUGAAUAUAUAUUACCCAAACAACCAAUCGCAAAAGAACCAAUUGCAUUCGCAAUCGGAUUUGAUCCGAAAUGCUUGGCGGUGAAAUAAUUAACGACAUAGCCUGCACAAGAUAUGAAAAUCGAAACAGGCCAUUGAGAGGGCCUUGCCUGAUUUACAAUUAAAAGACACAAAGUAAACAAGGGAACAAACAAAAUUUUCCAUUUAUCAUCCAUUUGAGUAGAUACCGGACAUGAAGUUGAGUCAGUGGCAUUAUGAUCCAUCCAACCAUAAAGAGCUGCCCCAAUUGAUAUACCGAAACUCAAAAAUAAAGAAUAAAUGAUGGCAUAAAACAUUCGAACUCCUCCUGCCACAAUAUUUUUACUUUGUAGCUCCAGCGAACCACAAAGUACGAUAUAACCUGGAAGAAUUAACACAAUCGCGCCCUCCGCAAGCGCAGAAAAACAGAAUCGACGACCACCAGAAUACCGAAUGCUACCAAAAGCUCUACUUAGAAAAGAUGUAAUAAUUGAGCCAGUCACCUCAAAAAGACUAUUAUACAUGGUUGAACGAGGAGCGAUAUAGUGCUGAAGAAUCCCUACGAGGCAACCUAAUAUAAAUGCAAUAGGCAAAUCAAUCCAUCCGCCUUGAAAAGACAUCGGCAGAAUAGUGGCACUAGCAAAACCAUAAAAAACAACAAGUAUCCAAGUUCUAAAAUAAGGAGGAGAUUUAAAAAUUUCAUCUAAACCUCUAAUUGCCUCCUCAACACCCAUACGGUCGUGCAAAACAGCUUUAUAUAUGUCAUGGACCAACUUCAAACGCCCAAGAUCAAUUGUUUGAUUUACACGAACAAUGUGCAUAUCAGAAGUAUGAGUGUUAACAUCACCAAAUGACACUAUCAUACAUCCAGGAAUGUACAAAAAUUGUCCCUCUAUUUCGAGAACCUUUGCUGCAGAAGCCAUAUGUUCUUCUAAACGAUGACUAGGAGCACCAUAUACCAUUAAAGCACGGCAUAGUUUUAAAAUAUAUUUUUGGCGUUGUAAAAUGUCAGCCAAAUGAAUAGUGAUUUUAUAUUCUUCGUUCAAACCAGAAUUCUUCCUACUGUGAUGGUGAAAAUUAAAUUUUCUACCACGAGAAUGACCUGUUUUAGAGAAUUGAGGAAUUUCCUCCGUAGACUGCAAGCCAGAAGCAGGCGCCAUAAAAGUCUGAUUUGAUGCGUGCAAAAGGUCUGUAAGUGAAUUACUAGAAGCAGUCCUUUUAGCGUGUUUUUGCCAUUUUGUAGGAUCAGUGUGCUUCAAAGAAAUCCUACUGGAUGUAACUGUAUUAGAAUUUGUAUACAACUUCAGCAAAUUUGACAAUACGCCGCCACGAUAAGAAGCCUUAGGAUUAGCAAAUGGAUCAGAUUCAUCUAUAUUGUCAUCUUGUUCGUUAUCUUUAACAUCUUCUCCUUCAUCAUUAGCGGCCUUCAAAGCGUUUAGCCUCAUAUGCUCUAAUCGAGCUGCCGUGUGAGCAGCAACAAGCUUGUACGCUUCUGUUGUAGUAGAGGGUAGUUCAUUAGUUGAUUCGACAUUAGACAUUUUUUCCGGAUCGCUCUGUAAAUUUUUAGCAGCGAUCAUAGGUGCUGAGUAGCUUCUAUCCAGAGUAGGCCUACGCAUUGGUAAGCUAUUGACGGAAUUUGAACUACUUUGGGUUUUAUAGCUAGCUGCAUAGCUUUCAACGUCUGUAUUCCUAGCAUCCAAUAGGCCUACUUUUGAUGCGGUAGGACUUGGAACAGCCGGCAUGUUUACUAAAUAUUGAUCCAUGGAAGUUAUAGAGCCUCUUUUGCGAAAAGCAGCAGGAGAAGGCGCCCUAUGAACAGGAAGAACCUGUGGUCCAUCAUCAUCCUCUGUAUCUUCAUCAUCUUCUUCUAUUAAAAAUGUAGGGGUCUGAAACGAAGUGGAACUCGGAAAAGAUGUUUGUAAGGGAGAGAGGUAAGGUCGUCUAUCGGUAUUGAAACG